Molecule: long non-coding RNA, 1701 nt
Organism: Betta splendens (Siamese fighting fish)
Lineage: Eukaryota; Metazoa; Chordata; Actinopteri; Anabantiformes; Osphronemidae
Exons: 3
Source: RefSeq, a predicted model, not a curated record
GCGACAGAGGAGGCGGCAGCGAAACUAACAAGGUCGUGAACACUUUGCACGCGGAGAGGCUUCAGCGAGACGGAGAAAUCCACCGCAAACACAUCAUGAGCCAGAGUCCACCCACAUUCCUGCAAGUUAAAGGGAACCAUGAAAGUGAAUCUGAAUGCAAGGAAGUCAUUCAGGCCACAGACGGAAGUCAUUCCCAGUCUCAACAAAGCUUUGGAGUCUAUCCUGAGUGGUGUGGACCCAGCUGAUGUGACGGGACCACCGCGCGCCGCGCACCUUCAUGACGUGGGGCUUGGAGCACGCAGCCGAACACUGGGACUCGCUGAUGAAGUUGGGCUCCGAGUUGGUGCUGCAGAGGCACUCGCGCCGCUCCCCCAGGCCGCCGUAGCGGUGCGACGCCGCGAAGCACACGCUGUUGCACUGCUGCCGCGUGAAGUUCCCCGGAGUGGAGGAGGAGAAGAUGACGAGCUCGCUGCGCCCCCCUCCGCCGCCGCCGCUGUCUUCCAGGCAGCCGGCAUAGUUCAGACCUGCAGGCGAGACGGAGGCCGUGACCCGAUGACUCCUUUGCCAAAAUGAUGCUUGUGCUGCUGUGUGGCAACAAAGCAGCCAGGCCAUUCGUUCAUACCGCAGGAUGGACAGCGGCCCACAGCAGAAGACGCCUCUGGGGAGAACGUUGAUCCUGUUCCCUUGAAGAUACCUGCACACAGAUGCAUGUGUGAUUAAACAGGCGUAGAAGUAAAAUUACAUGAACACGUAAACACACGAUUCUGGCCGUACUCACAACUCUCUGAGGCUGGUGAGAUGAUCUAACAGGCUGGUAUCAAGGGAGGAGAUGUGGUUGUUGGAAAGAUCUCUGCGGGACAAAGCCAACAUAACCACAUUUAAAACUUCAUGCUGUGGCAGGACGAUUGCAUAUACACACGGUGACAGGCACACUCAGGAUGACUGGAAGCUACAGUGACCUAACCAUAUCACGGGGUCGAGUCUGUGCAGGAAAAUAUUCAGCUCGUACCAACAGAAGAGGAGAUAAAUACAACCAGACACACUGAAUACAGUCUGAAUAUGAAUGCGCCAAAGACCACAAACAGCAGAUAUAUAUAUAUAUAGUAUUAUAUUUGCAGUGAUGCAACAUGAUACAACAGCCGUAGUAAAAUGUUCAAAUACAGUAUACUAAGGUGGAUAUUGUGUUAAACAAUAACACAAUACAGUAUAACACCAUUUACAGGAAAAGCUCAUCACAAUGAAAACUUUUUUUUCUAAAUUAAAGCAGAAGUUGUGAAAAUAUUGUUUUGGUCUUUAACAUUCAAAAAGUGAUGGACUCUUUGUUUCCCCAAAUGACUCCUUGUACAAUAUGUGUGUGUUAUCCUUUAAUCUCAAUGCGUACACUUAUAGUACUGCACAAUACAUUAAGCCGAUCCAGGCAAGAAAAGCUGGACCUUUAAUAAGACUGAAAAUAUGAGUGAUCUAACAACAGCUUGCAUUCUGCAGGCGACAAUAUGAAUAUGGCGACGAGCUACGAAUGAAAGAAGCCGGAGGUCGCUGCUCUAAAUGUCACUCACAGUCACGUAUUCAUGCGUUUAUAAUGACACGCGUUCUUUCAUUCUGCUUCAAAAGAACAAGAUAAUAGUUUUAGAUUCACUCAUUUGAAAACGUAAGCGAUCACACUGACUGAUAAGUAGGUGCUGAAUUAUCCUGCAUUAAAGC